GUCCACGCCGUAAACGAUGAUAACUAGCUGUCCGGGCACUUGGUGCCUGGGUGGCGCAGCUAACGCAUUAAGUUAUCCGCCUGGGGAGUACGGUCGCAAGAUUAAAACUCAAAGGAAUUGACUGGGGCCUGCACAAGCGGUGGAGCAUGUGGUUUAAUUCGAAGCAACGCGCAGAACCUUACCAGCGUUUGACAUCCCGCGCUAUCCAGAGAGAUCUGGGGUUCCCUUCGGGGACGCGGUGACAGGUGCUGCAUGGCUGUCGU
This 263-nucleotide ribosomal RNA is filed under the name uncultured bacterium. Its description in RNAcentral is "partial 16S ribosomal RNA". It matches the Rfam family "Bacterial small subunit ribosomal RNA", at positions 793 to 1055 of the family's 1533-position model. The record is from RNAcentral.